AGCCAUCUUUGCUACUUUCGUGUAAUCGCGUGUGUCGGUUAGACCACCUGUUUUACCGUCGUCAAGACUCCAACUUAUCGUCUCGUUGAGACAUUGGUUUGAUAUAGUAUAUUCGCAAUUUUAGAUUGCAUCCACUAUUUAUCUUGUUCUUGCUUGUUCUUCGAUUGCUUGCAGGAACAAAGACCUUCGUGGUCAGGUUGAUCGUGCCCCGCCGUGAUCAAUAACCCUCUGGAGUUGGUGUAUCGAUUGCUAAGACGCUGCCUCCUAGACCGUAGUCGGAUCGUCAACGUCACCUCCUACUCAAAUCGAGAGUUAUCAAUCUCAUCGAAAGAUCGGGCCACCCCGACCCACAUCACUCAUCAAGUACUACAGUGAAAUAGUAGAAACAUAACGAAUUUAAACAAAACAAAUUGCACGUGUAUUGGUAUUAAAAUUGCACAAUAUAUGUGAAACUUACGCGCCAGCAAUGUGCAACCUCAUGUUCAAGUUCCUUUAUGAUUGUAAAAAAUACAUCAACAUCGGUACAUGGUUGAAUUUCUUUUGGUUGUGUUGUAUACUGUCUUUUUUUGCAAAAAUAAAAUAGCAAGUAAGUUACACAAUCAAUACUAAUUAAAUUGCGCAAUUUUAGUGUGCAAGUGGACAAGUCAAAAGAAAAUGCAGGAUGUAGGAAAGCCCAGGCUUGUAGACCAAAUAGUGGACUUUUCAACACGUGGACCUUCAGAUUUUCAUAGCAACGUACUCCCUCCGAUACAUAAUAAAUGCCUCCGACUUAGUACACCUCAUACUUGGUAAUAAUUGUCUCAGACUUAGUACAAUUUUUCGUACUAAGUCUAAGUCUGAGACACUUAUUAUGUAUCGAGGGCGUACCUUUUCUGUUAGCACAAGCAUGCAACUUUUCCGUGUAUUUUUUAAAUACAUAGACAUGUUGAUACAAGCAAGAGCUUGUUCACUCAGAAAUAAGUAUUUCUUGAUCGAUCGUGCUAUAGUCGGACCUCUGUGAUAAUUCUGUUAAGAUAAAGGAUUUUAUCAUAUAUUUUUAUUGAAAAAAUAAUGCCACUUGGUUCUGUUUCGUGUAAAUGGCUGACCAGUAAUGAUGCAAGUUCUACUUAUAUACCCCCUCCGACAGUGUCUUUUAUUUAAUACAAAAUUAAAAAGUUAUACUUCCUCCAUCCAACAAAGAAUGUCUCAAGUUUGUCAAAAUUUGAAUGUAUCUAGACAUGACUUAGUGUAUAGAUGCAUUCAAAUUUAGUUAAAGUUGAAACAUCCUUUGUUGGACUGAGGGAAUACUAACUUUGUACGGAUACUAAAUACAUGACAUUUAUUACGGAGGGAGCAACGUAGGGGCAAGUAAAGCACAGCGCCUCCUCGAGAGCAGCUCGUCUUCCUCGUGCUGUAAUCUUUACUCGUCGGUUUUGCUUAAACUACAGUCCCAACUAAUCCCCGACAGCGAACUUAUCUCCCCACCUCCUCCUCCCUGCUAACUUUUCUUUUACUAAUCAACUCACGCGGUCCAUGCUUCAAAUUUGUUAGUACUAUACUUAAUUAACUAUCCGGCUAACAUGCGGGAAUCAGACGCGAUCCACGUUUGUAGCUUUAUGUUCUAUUUGCACUUUGGAUUUACGCUCGCUGUUGACCUACCAUCGGCCGCGCACUGAAAAUUGAUAAUUGGUAUUGGCUUCUAAUACUCAUUUUAUCUGAAAUUCUGCAUUUGCAUGUGCUGUGAGCUGUCUCCGGACGGCUACUAGCUUUGCUCUUCAGUUUUAGUUCUAGUUCCUUUCUCGCAUCAGCAGACAAACUCUACCGUGGUGGUUGAUGAAUUUCACAAAGGAUCUUCCGCUUUAUUUUAAUUUCUUUUAUUUAUUUUAUCUCUUGUUUACUCUCUUGCGAAAGUGUGGAUACCUAGGGCAUGCACAAUACUCCAGUAGAUAAUGUUGCCUUCUCUUAUGUGUUCCUAGUUAUUAAAAAACCCAGUAAACCAUGAUAUAAAAUAGGUUAUCUAUCAGCAUCGAUCAUAUCUUAAAACUAAUACCAAAAUAUAGAAGAAACUGCAUUGGAAGUCCUUAAACUUGGCAGGUGGGAACAAUUUGGUUCAUUUACUUGAAAUUGCACAUCAGAGGUCCAAAUCUCGUAUUUCCGCGUGAGCCCGAUGACGUGGCCGCUGAUGUGGAUUUUGAGAAAAUAAGUAGGUUUUUUUGGGAAGAUUUCUUUUGCAAAUUUCUCCAUACUAAUAAUGAAUUUAUUUCCCACGGUCCAUGGCCGGCUCGUCCUCAGCUUGUCGUUAGCCCUGUCUCAAUUCCCCAAACGUACGCAAGAAAUCCCUAACCCUAGGUCCUGGCGGUUCUUGCUCCCUCAAUUUGCCCGUCGAAGAAGCUUCGGUCGCAUCGCUCCUCUCUUCUGUGCUUCUUCGCGCUCGAUUCCUCUCCCCCGCACUCGAUUGCUCUCCGCCACCGCUGCUAGAUCCCGAUGCUUGGCCGGAGUGGGUACACCAAAGAGAGAGGAGAGUAGAUGAUGUCUUGGCUCCAUGGCGGGGAUUGUAGCCCGGGCAGCAACCAGGUUCUUGUCCCCCCUCCCUCCUUUUUUCCAUCUCCCAAUUUGCAAAAGAAAUCUUCCCAGAAAACCCCAUGAGCUUAUCUUCUUGUGAAGUGGUCAUCUUCUUCUUUUUUAGGGGAAUUGUCUUAUCUUCUUGUGAAGUGGUCAUCUUUCGGUUAAGACUUAAGAGAAGGCUUGUGUCUCGUGUCUUUCUUUUUGAGCUUGACCAUAUCCCUUAGAUGCUUUAGAGCAUCUUUGAGCCCAACCUGCCAUAACUAUUACUAGACCAUGGUAGCGCGUGUUGCCGCGCUGUCCCCUUGGUUAAGAAUAGUUGAGAAAGACAAGUUUGGAUGUAAUAAAAAAUGAAGUGAUCGAUAAAGCACUUGAAAUAAGAAUAUUAUUUUGUUGGAUCAAUACUUCCUCUAUCCCAUAUUAAGUGACUCAAAUUUGUUUAAAUAUUGACGUAUCUAUAUACUAAAAUACUUCUAGAUACAUGCAAUAUUACAACACUUAAUAUGGGACGGAGGGAGUAUAUAGGCGACUAUACAUGACUUUGAAAGUAGCAUAGGGACCAUGAAAAUACCUACGGAGUAUUUAUUUUUUUUGGCAUGGAAAUUAAGGUAAAGAAAGGAAGCAUUGCAUUCUUUUGGCAGACAUAUAGUGUUCCCAUGGUAGAUGAGCUCAAGUAUUGGAUGAGCAGGCUAUUUUGUGUUGUGAUGCGACAAAACAAUGUUAAAAAUAAGAACCAGCAGAAGCCAGUAAUGUGAUGCGACAAAACAAUGUUAAAAUAAGAACCAACUGAUAGUAUCAUUUCAGCAUAAGUAUAUUGACAUCAAAUUAAAACGGUUUCCUUCUCCUUCGUGUAUCAUGGGCCAUAUUUCACUGUCUAGUAACUUCAGAUUUCUAACUCUGAUCUACAAAAUACCGUAUCAUAAGCACAUCAUAUGCAAUAUGUGUGCAACUGAACCGCUGCAAUGGCAUUCCAGUGUCAAUUUGAUUCCUUACAUAUUUCUUUUCGGAGCUAUUUUAAUCUUCUCGGCACUUUGUUCAACUUCACUUGCAUAUGGAAUAGAUCGUGCAAUCAAUACUUAAAUUAGAAAUGGGUGACCACUGACCAGAUCCAAGUUAAGCAUCUGUACCUGUGGAUAUGAGACAUUCAGCAUAGCGAAUACCAACAAAUGCAGUUCCAAUUCGGUCAAAAACAAAUGCAGUUCCAAACUACAACAUUUUACAUAGAUAUUUUCUCUUCCAGAAGCAUGAAACUUGAAGCCAUCACAUCUGCAGAUGGUACGUACAUCUCCAAUAAUGUCCUACAAAAGGGUGUAGCAGUUUUCAACUGUCUCUCUUCUUGAGUUGGGACUUGACUCUUGAGACAGAGAGAGGGAGGCAGUGUGUUUUACCUCAACUGAUGCUCCCCCCUUCCUUCAUCAUCAAUUAUCCACCUUGACUGACUUACAUUUCGUGAAAGCUGACAAUAGGGAAUAGUAUCAUGAGGGAUUCAUAACCUGUUUGUAAUAUCAACUGAAGAGCAAACAUAGACGUAGUAUGCAUUGAGAAGCACUUACCAAGUGACAUAAAAUUGAUAUAUGGUGCAAUAGUACAUUAUUAUAUUUUUUAAAGAAAUAUACUUGAUUUUUUAACCACCUUUAAUAAGGUUGGACAAUGACUCACAGAAUUACAUAAUUCUUGACGGAAGUAAUUCUACGAGGAAGCAGUGAUUAACAAAAAAAAUCAUAAGUUUGCUAUUAGGAAAAUUAUUCCUUACUGAUCGACAACAGAGAGGUGCAUUCUCUGCAACUGACAAUUCUCGUAAGCAUACCUUCAACUAUCUUCCACCAAUAAGUAUGGACAACCUUAGGCAGGAUAUCACAAGAUGGCUUAACACCUGAAGGGGAAUCAGGUCGACCUGAAAAUCAGUAAAAAUACAUGGCCAAUAUCUUGGGUAAAUGGAUCUUAUAAGUCGAAAAUUGGCACCUUUUCAGGAGGGAGCUGAAAUAAACUACAAAACUCAAUAUGUGUUUAUCAUCGUUUGUUUCACUCAAGGGUUUUGUGAGUGAAUGAAUCUGUUUCACUCAACAUGUGCUUAUCAUCGUCCGCUGAAUUUCUUCUAAACUCAGUCUACUCUUGAUCUUGAAUACACUCAAGGGUUUGGUGAGUGAAUGAAUCUAUUUCACUCAAUAUAUGUUUAUCAUCAUCUGUUGAAUUUCUUCUAGAAUCAGUCCCUUCUCUUGAUUCUGCUAAAACAUUAUGUAAAUCAGAGUAUGAAUGAAAAAUAGAUGCAUACAAAAGGAUGAUUAAAUUGGUUUGUUAAAAAAAAUGGCCACUCUUCAAGAAGUUCACUCAGUUUUUGCGGCAAUGCCUUAUCUGCUUUUCUUUUACGAUUACGAUCAUUUGGCAAUAAACUUUUGAGCUUCUGUCUAUGCUUGGAGAGAACACCUCUGCCGCCUGCCUUGCCAUCGCCUGAAGAGGGAGUCACAACCGUCUGUACAGUUUCCGCCGUGGUAAUAUCGAAGCAAGACAUAAAGCUAAUUCCCUGCAAUCAACCAAACCAGCUGGAACCCUCCCCCAAUGACCCCUAUGGGAACACAGCAACAAAGCAGGUGAAUUAGCAUGUUCCAGAAGAAAAACAACUUCAAAGCUGGAUUGUAUUUAUCCAUACAUGACAAAACAAAACCUCUUGCAUCAGAGAGUAAUUUUCCUGCCUAAACAUGAUGUAUAACUUGUAUGAAAAUCGGAAAGAUAUAACCAUACAAAUGGCUACCGUACUAAGACAAAAUUAAGCUGACAUCCAUAGGAAAAACAAACCUACCUAGGCAACAAUCAUGGCUGCCGGCAGGGGAAGUGGAAAGGAUGGGAUUAGCAAAGAUGGAAAAGAAGUAUAAAUAGAUGGGAGACCAAAAAAUCGUAGGCAAUUGGAGGUCGAGGGGUACCAAUACCAUAGCAUUGAAAACCAUCUUGAAGGCGGCAGUUUCUGUACGGGAGCGCCUGCUCACCUCCUGCAGCGCCACGGUGCGCCUGUCCGUCUCCGCGACGGCAGCGCACGAGGGUUGGGGUUGGGCCGUUGGGGACUGGGGCACCGAGGCCGCCGGGCGGCAUCGCCCGCGCGCCCGCGCCCAAAGAUUUGGGCAAAACAGGAGGAGAAGCGAAGGAGGGACCGAGGAGCCAGGCGACGCGAGAAAUGGGUCGUUUACCGGCCUAGUUAACUAGCGGCCAUCGAUUUUCCUGGCGGAGCGGCGUCCAGCCCAACCGGAGAAGCCCAGCCGCGAGGCCCAAGUGCGUUUGGACGGCCGGAGAUGGAAAAAAAAACCCAAACGGCCUAGUUAACCAGCGGCCAUCGAUUUUCCUGGCGGAGCAGCGUCUAGCCCAACUGGAGAAGCCCAGCCGCGAGGCCCAGGUGCGUUUGGAUGGCCGGAGGUGGCAAAAAAAAAUCCGAUCGGACGGCUGAGAGGGGUGAUGGCCCGAGAACGCUCGGAGUCCAUCCCAUUUUGUUGUCUCUAAUUUUUGUAGCAAAAAAAAGGCAGAAAAGUAUUGGGUGCAAGACUUGGAUCACGCAAUAUUUACAAAAAUAUUUACAGCCUCCGUCUACCCGAUAUCUAAAGUCCGACGGAGCCUAACGUAAGGAAAAACGUUGAAAAAUAUAUUUUCAACAUUUUCCCUAACAACUCGAACAAUAAAAAUGGUAGUACGUUCAAGAGGCUUUUCGAAACCUUUAAAGGUAGUCAAGUUCGUGCAGAGAUACUAGUAACGAUGUUUCUGCUAUAGUCAAUUGCAGUCUCUAUGUUGAAAACUCAGCAAAAUUUCAUGUUGCAAAGUAUGAUAUCAUGGAGAAUAUUUUUUUAAGAGAUUUUAUUAUAGUUUUUAAUUAUAAGAGUUACCCUUGUAGUUUCUAUAGUCUAUAAUCCAAAGAAUUGUACAUGUAAUGGUUCUCGUGUUUGAAUAAAGCUAGAUGUUAUUUAAAAAAAUGGUAUCCGCAUCAAUUCAAUACUACCAUGCACCGUCCUUCUCGUUCAAUUGCCCUUGUCGGUUGCCAAUCAUCAUCGAGCUGGACUUCAGCAUCGUGUGACUUAUCCCUUCUCCUUCCUCCUUUUUCCCUCGUUCAUCCCUAUUUGAUUCUUGUGCCGAGUUGACGGGGCGUGCAAUUUGCUCUGUAAGGCCAAAUAUAGAAUGUUGGUUCCAUAUAUUUUCCGGUUUUUUUUUGAAAAAAAGGAAAGCCCCCAACCUUUGCAUCAACCGAUGCACAUAGACACCAUAUUAUUAAAAUUCAACACGAUAUCAUCAUCCAAAGUUACAACUCAAAAAGAUAACAAGAGACCGACAAAUCAGCCAUCCUCAAGUCUAGCCUCGGCGCGCCAUCCAAAAUGACAAAAAAAAAGAGUGCCUUUUAGUUGUCCAUUGCUCUUAUUGAAACUUCUUUUUGACCAACUCUUAUUGAAACUUUAAUUGCUUUGUCCAUUUCUUACGAGGCCAGCAAAGAAUCCUAUCAUGCAAAAACCAAACCGGGAAAGUGUUUACAUCGUGAUAAAAAGUGUGCACGCACAGCACACGUUAUUCCCCAACAACGGCUCUGUUAGCAAGCCAGAAAAGGACGCGCACAUCGUACAUUCGUGCAGUACGCCACAGCAUAAAUCGCCCAAGUGCUCGCUGUCCCGUCCCUGUCCUUCUGAUCGAUCUAUGUGCAUCCUCAAUCUCUGCCUCACUUGCUGCUCCUGCUUACUCCCUCCCUCGCACAACCGCCACCAAGACGACAUGGCUGCCUCCGCCUCCGACGACGGCGUCAUCACGCACCGGGACGUGAGCCUCAGCACCGGCGUGCGCCUGCACGUGGCGGAGGCCGGCCCCGCGGGCGCGCCGGCGGUGCUGCUGCUGCACGGGUUCCCGGAGCUGUGGUACACGUGGCGGCACCAGAUGCGGGCGCUGGCGGCGGCGGGGUACCGCGCCGUGGCGCCCGACAUGCGCGGCUACGGCGGCUCCGACGCGCCCCCCGGGGCCCCCGAGGAGCAGUACACGGCGCUCCACGUCGUGGGCGACCUCGUGGCGCUCAUCGACUCCCUCGGCGAGGAGAAGCAGCCGGUCUUCGUGGUGGCGCACGACUGGGGCGCGGUCACGGCGUGGAGCCUCUGCCUGUUCCGGCCGGACAGGGUCAGGGCCAUGGUCGCCCUCAGCGUCGCCUUCACGCCGCGGAGCCCCGCCAGGAAGCCCGUCGAUGGGCUCAGGGCGCUCUUCGGGGAUGAGUACUACGUCUGCCGCAUUCAGGUACGUGCUACCAUCUGAAAACCCCUUGAUGCAAGGAAAGCAGAUGUGACUAAUUUAGCUUGCUAUAUCCCCCUUCCGUGUUCUUUCAAGGUGACAUUUUGCUUUUUUUGUUCUCUUUUCUUUUUGGAAUUAUCUCCUAAUAGAAGUAAAAAAAAAGCCCCUAUAAAACAAUCUACUCCCGGCGCUUUGUCCCAUGUUAAAUAAGCACCGUCAACGAAGACUUAGGCCUCUUGGAAGUUAUUGUCGAGACUCGGUGGCAUGUAGGGUCACUGUGGGAUGUAGAUAUCACUUUACCGUCGCAUUCCCUCGGGUUCCAGAUGACCGACUAUUCUGCAAAUUGGUUCUUUUACUGUCGCAUAUACUAAUAUAGGACUGUUUAAUUCUCUUCUAGUUUCGUAAGGAACGAAUUAACCAGCGAGGCCACGACUGAAGCCAUUGCUUUUUAAUCCAUAUAAAUUGUUGCUGGAUUUGCAUUGCAUGUGAAAACAAUAUGAUGGAGCCGGUUCUAAUAUAUAUGCAGGAGCCUGGAGCAAUUGAAGCAGAAUUCGCCCGCCUAGGCACGGAUCUGGUCCUAAGAAAGUUCUUUACUUAUCGGACUCCCGGCCCGCUGUUCAUCCCAAAGAGCGGGUGGGGGUCACCAGAUGACGAGGUGCCCUUGCCGAGCUGGAUCACCGAGGAGGAUGUCAAGUACUAUGCAACCCAGUUUGACAAGACUGGUUUCACCGGAGGAUUGAACUACUACCGUGCCUUGAACAAGUAAGCACUUGCUAUGGACUUAAUACAACAGCUUCUGAGAUGAAUACUAAUUUUAGUAAAAAUAACUUCUGAGGUGUUGGCAGAUUUCGAAAAUAACAUACGAAGUACAGGAAUUUGACUCUUCUAUACGCAUGGUUGCUAAUUUCCAUGGAGAAAGGCAUUGAUAUAACACUACAAAGUUAUGUUAUAAUUCCCCAAAAGAAAAUUUAUGUUAUAAAGCAACAAUUUACUUUAUCUCUCCAAAAGAAAUGGUUGUACGGGAAAAGGACGGUAACUUGAGCGGAUUUGCGCAACUAAGUGUUAUCUUACCACCAUAUAUAUUUGGAUUGUGUAUAGGACAUGGGAGCUAACAUCACCCUGGACGGGGGCUGAGAUAAAGGUACCAGUGAAGUUCGUGAUUGGAGAUUUGGAUUUGACAUACCAUACCCCAGGCAUACAAGAUUUUAUUAACAAAGGUGGCCUCAAGAAGUAUGUCCCAUUACUGGAUGAUGUGGUGAUAAUGAAAGAUGUUGGGCACUUCAUAAAUGAAGAAAAACCAGAGGAAGUUAGUGCGCAUAUAAUCAGCUUCAUAAAGAAAUUCAACUGAAUGAGGUAUUUCAGCGAACAAACAUCGGAGAGGGUAAAACUGUAACAUUGUGUGAUUUGAUGUUGAGCCUAUUUCUUCACUGUGUUUCAUAAACUUCAUUAUAUGAAACUAUCUCAGUGUGUGGUUUCACUCUUUGUGUCAUGUGGAAUGUUCAAUGUAUCUUGUAGCAUGCAUAUUUCUACCAUAUGAAUACUGGAUCCAUGCUUUGUGUGGAUGUUUGCCCUUAUAUGCACAAAUUUUUGUUGCUAAAUUCCAUGGAUUUCAAGGGAAACGUGUACCCAAUUUUCGAUUAGUGUCUAUGACGCCAAACAACAAUUGGCACCGUUUGCCAGCCGCAAACUGCUGAGAACCGCUCGGUUUCUCUACCAAACGCGAGCGCGGUGCUCGUUUCCACUCCGCCACCGGCCAGGCUUGGGGUCCUCGCCCUCCCCAUCUCCAGCUUCGGCGACGGGUGAGGAUGGGGACCUCGGUGCUUCUACUCUGGUCUGUAGGUAGGGUAGAUUUAGGUUUUCAUGGAGGUGGGUGGCAUAUUGGUGGUAGAGACUACAUCGCAUCAGAAUAUUUUGCCCUUGCUCUUUCCACCACCUCGGAGGCGUUCCGAUCAGUGACGUCGGGAAGCAGGUGGCUUGUUAGUCUCCCCAGUCCCUAAUUCCGGUUAGUUCAGUUCACGGUAGUGGUUGUUUUGUGUCCACUCUUGUGGUCGCAGAUUCGACUCUUGCACAUAAUUUUUUCGUGUUUUGAAGAGUGGCUUGUGGUUCGUGGUUGGUAGCGUCCUUUUUCUUUGUCAACUAGGGUGAAUGAAGAUGGUGGCGCCGAGAUCUGGUGUCAUGGGAAAGAUUUCUGGCCGACGCACCAUUAUGGUCCGGUCUCCUGCUCCUCGUGUGUGCUAGUCCAAUUCAUCGGCUCGAAAAACAGUAAUUUCUGCAAUGGUGCUCCUCAAAUCUAGGAAUGUCGGCUGCGCUCCAGCCUUCUUCGACGACGCCAUGACGGCGGGAAAAUUAGUGGCGGGGACUGUUUGACUUGGUAAAAGGUCUCGAAAAAUUAACUUGUAAUUUUUUUUAUUGGAUAUUCCUUUGUACAAAUCUUCAAGACAUCGGUCUUUCUGGUUGUCUUGUGUGGUCCGUGCGUUGUAACCGUGUGGUUGCACCCCGGAACCUGCACGGCUGCACCGCAUCCAGGUGAGGCCGACCAGCCGAGUGAUCUGACCUGAACCUCCACCGAGCGCGUGUAUCGACGUGAACGAUUCGAAUCCAAUCCACCUGUACUGCCGCCAUGAAUUCGCUCGCUGUCCUUUGCCGCUCGUCACCACUGACACCUGCCUCCUCAUCUCCCUCUCCGUCCCCCAAUCGUCCUGUAUAUAUAAAAGUCCCCCGCUCGCGACCAGCAGCUCACCGCCACGACAUGGCCGCCGCCGCCAGGAUUUCCUCCCGAACCGUCGCCGUGGCAACAACCGCUGCACCACCGGUCAUGUGAGUAUCGCAACAAUCUCUCGAGUCUGGCGCUCGUGCUGUUCCGGAAUCUGGAUCUAGAAUAUGAAAUUGCUCGAUUUCAUAAUCUCUUGCAUCAUUCAAUCUGACGUGUGCAGCUCCCCGAAAGAAAAUCUACACGCUUCCCUUGCCUCCACCUCCGAGCCCCCUCCGCUCUUCGACGGCACGACCAGGUGAAUUUUAAGAAAUGAAAUCUGCAUUGCAGAUAUGUCUCGUGGUUCAUCACUUGUGCACAUAUCUAGGGAUAUAAACUGCUUUUUCUUUUGUUUCUCCUGGAGGUUGUAUGUUGCAUAUCACUGCCCAUACACACGGCGCGCUUGGAUUAACAGGAACUACAAGGUAGCACCUCUAGUGUGUUCUUUGAUUUGCAGUCCACGCUUUCACAGGACUUGUGCUGAUAGGUGACAAAAGUUUAAUCUUCUAUUUGUACCCCCUCCGAUCCACUAAAUCAAAGACACUUAUUAUGGAUCGGAGGGAGUAUGAUUUAUUGCCCAGGGUUUCAGGACAAGAUUAAGGUAGUCGUGAUCGGUCUGGCAGACAGGCCAUCUAGGUACAAGGAGAAUGUUUAUCCAGAAACCAAGGUAUGGUGCCUAAUCUCAGUUCUUUCUCACGUGCAUAAUAUCUUGCUCUGUUUGCAGUCCAUCAUUUCUCUGAUAUCCAUGCACACUUGCCUUUAUUUUUCUACGGGUGCCUUCACUGGAGCAUGACAACCAGGUGAAAGGCGAGAGCUUGGAUUUGAUCAAGUACAUUGAUAGAAAUUUCGAAGGCCCAUCUUUGCUUCCUGAAGUAUGCAUAUAUGUUCAACCAUCAUGAGCGUGAUGCUUGUACAAAGACACAUCAGUUUCUCAGUGUUAUUUACCUUUGCAUUCAUAAAUUGGCAUGAUUCUACACGAAGCAGUCCUCUUAGGAGCUACUUGUAUAUACAGAUGAGUUUAUCAAAGAAUUAUACUCAUAUACAUACUCCCAAGGGAAAUGUGUCAGAGGAAACUGGUAAAAAAGCAUAGGUAUACACCUGUAACCUGUUUACUCAUUUCAUAAGUUCUACAGGCUGCAAUUUGUAUUCAUAUUAUAAUUGGAAUCUCUCAUGCAUUAUACUUUCAUUAGUUGCUGCGCUGGAUAAAAUAGAAGCUGCCAUGGGAAAGUUUACCAAUGGUCUUUGUUCCUUGGCCAGUUCAGUUCAGUAUGCCACAUCAUUAUGUGUGAUUCCUUUAAUUCCUUUUAUAUAGAACUAUAAAUAAUUGUGGUUGACAUGUGGUCUUGCUGUGAUGUUAAUUUCUGCACAGGGUGGACACUGCAUAUCUGCCAUUUUUCGGAAGGUUUCAGAUAUUAUUAUUUUCUGGUAUCAAGAACUAUGAUUUCACCAAGCGCAGAAUGAACCUUCAGAAAUACAUUGAGGUAAUUAUGAAUGAUGUGAGAUGAGAUUGUGCCAUAUUUUAAUGUUAAGUUUGAGGAAUAUUAGGUUACUCCAAAAUUAAUUUGACUCGUAUUUUCCAAAAAACAAUAGGUAGUACUAUGUAAUUGUUCUGGACUGUUGGAAUAAUCUUGCCUAAAUUGGUUUUGUACACGGUACAUGUACUAGACUACUAGUUCUGUCCGAGUUCUAACCAGGAUAUGAUUGAUUAGCUCAAUGAAUUAGAGACUAGGGAUUAAGUAAAGGUGGUGUCCGUACGGUACCAGUAUAGUACCAGGUUUUUUUAGGUCUAUUAGAAUAGUGUUCUUGUGGGUGUUUAGACAUAGAGUCCGAGUAGGUGUUGGUUCUAGUGUGUGUAUAUACAAGUGUAGUGCUGUUUCUUUGUAUUAAAAGAUUGCAAGAAAAAAAUAAAGAAAAGAAGCAGACACGUUAUGUCGUUCAUACUUUUAAACUUUUUCUGAAUAUCUCAGUAUAAGUAAUAAUAUGGUGCAUAUGCUGAUUUGAUUGAUUCGAGCCGUUUCUUGGAAUGUGCUGAGCGUCAACGAAUUGGUUUACCGCAAUUUCUAGGAAUGGGCUGAAGACGAGAGAAUUCAAGGCGUUGCGAAAAUAGGUACCUCCUUUUCCUUACCAUCCAAGCAUUCAAAGUAUCAGCUUACCGUUAUAGCAUUAGUAGUAACAUUACCUCCGCUUGUCUCAUCGCCUCACCUUUGCGGCCCUAACCUCUGAUCCGCUGGUCCUCUCAUCUCGUUCUCUCUGAUCUGCCGACCUUUAGGACUGCCGCAAGAUUAGUUUCUUAUUUCCCCUUUCUUCUCGUUACGGCUGUUGCAAAGUUAGUAUAAUCUUAGGGAGUGAGCCUAGCUCACUUGGUUGGGGGAGUGGGUGUACAAUCCCAAUACCUGAGUUCAAAUCCUCACGGAUGCGAAUUUAGGAUCCUAUUAUACUGUAUGGGUCUCCCUUACAGUUAAUAUAAUCUUCUGUUGUCUCACGUUGCGCUCUUGCUUGGUGACCACCUUGGGCGUCUCUGUGGUGAGAUUUUUGUUCUUGUUUCCAAAUUUGCAUUUUCCAUAUCUUUUGAUCUGGAUUGACAUUAUAAGUAGCACUUUCAAUUAUAUGUUCCAAAUCCCUCCACUUACUCUUCAAUCUACUACUGCUCCAUCAACCUCAAAGUAUUCCUUUCUGAAAGGCGAAGGCAUUAAUCACGCUACAUGUAAAUUAUAUAAUCAUCUAUACUACUAUUUUUGUCACUCCAGUUCCUGCCGAUGUUCUUUUAGUUGAGUUGUACCCAGCAUGUCUAUAUGCCCCUAAUAAAACCCGUUUGAUUACAGGACUUCAACCUCUCAGCACUUGUCAAAUAUCCCUCUUCACUUGCUGGUUUGGUGUGAAUAUGCGAUGCCAACCUAGUGUUGUGUACGAACUAGUUAUCCUCCUGUCACCUGAAACAAAAGAGAGAAUUGAAGGACUUCAUGUUAAGAACUUUCUUGAUUUGAAGCUUAUUGGGAAACAAAGUAGAAAGAUUAUCGGAUAUCAAAUGAGUUUAGCUGAGAUUCAGAGAAAUCUUUAUCACAUUAUGUUUAAAAUCAAGUGCAAAAAAUUAUGCAUCACACGAGAAGUAUUGGAUAUAAUUAUUGGAAUGCCGCAUGGCUAUUUUCAAAAGUUACAAUCUUCGAGUAGAGAGGAAGCAAAGCAUUUGACUCGAUGUACAAAGUCCGCCGUGGAUAAAGAAACUCAGAAGAGGAGCUAUAGAGUAGCGCCGGUGCUUCAAACAAAGAUGAAGCUUAGGACAAAUAUGUUUUGCGGAAGAUCAAUGCCGGUGCUUUUGAUGAUAAGAACAAAGUGGCGUAAAAAAGAAAAAAUUUCGCCACGAACAAUAUUAAAGUUUUCCUGUUUAAAAUUUAAAGACGUUGACGUGGAUGUUAGUUUUUUCUUGUUUUAGCGUUGGAAAGAUUGUUGCUGCCAUUAACUGUCAUUUAUUCGUCCAUGGCGAUGGUACGAGUAUAGGAUCCUUAGAAGUUGCAGGAUUUUAAUUUAGGUCAACGUGUCUUUCAUGCUUUAAUGGCUGGUAUUUGUAAUUGAAAUUCAAAUUAAAACACGAAGCAGUCACUAUCCUGGAAUUAUUCUAACCGUAAGUACCUUCAUAGUUCUAUCAUAGUGGGUAGGAAAUUGUGUUUCUAAUCCUAGAAUUUUUCUAUUUCUGGUUAGAUAAACAGUGUGUCUAACUAUAGAAUUUUGCUAUUUCCUAACUAGAAUUAACAUAAUUCUACAAUUAGAGACAUUUCCUACUAAAUAUAAGAAGAGCUAUGGAUGUACUUGCGGUCAGAACAAUAAAACAUAGCCAACGAUUUGCUUCGUGUUUUUUCUUUAUUUUGAAUUACUAAUACCAGCUAUCAAAGCAUCAAAGACAAGUUUAUCUAGGACAACAAGAAACUUUUUAGGAUCUUCUACUGCUUCUACCAUCGCCUUAGACGAAUAAAUGAGGGUUGGUGGCAACAACAAUCUUUCCAAUGGCAAUAACAAGAAAAAUCUGACUUCCAUCUCAACGUGUUUAAAUUCUGAACGAAAAAACUUUAAUUUUUUUGGGGUGAACAAUUUUUUUUUAAAGCCACAUCGUCCUAAUCAUCACAAGCAUCAAUGCUGAUCUGUUGUUCCCUUAUCUUUGCCAUAAGCUUCAUCUUUGUACGAAGCAUCAGCACCGGUCUGCUGCUUCUCAUCUUUUCUUCUAAUUAUCGUUAUCAACAUCGGACUCCAAACCUUCAUACAUGAAGUCAAUGAUUUGCCGCUUUGCUCUUUACUCAACGAUGGGAGCUUCUGAAGAUAGCCACACAACAUGUCAAUAAUUUUAUCACUGUUUUUUGUGUGAUGCAUAGUUUGUAGCCAUUGAUUUUGAACAUAACUUGAGCAGAAUUUCUCUGAAUUUCAGCUAAACUUAUUAGGUAUCUGGUAAUCUCUCUACUUUGCUUUCCAUUUAGCUUCAGUUAAGAAGGUUUUUGAAAGGAAGUCCUUCGAUCCUCUUUUUUUGCUUCAGGUGACAGGAGGGGAACUACUUCGGCCACCACUAUGUUGGCACUGCAUAUUGACAUCGGUCAUGGCUGUAACCACCAAGCCAACAAGUAGGAGAGUUGACAAGUGGAGAGGUUAACUUCACGUAAUCCAACAACUUUUCUUAAGGGCAUAUAUAUGCUGGCUAGAAAUCAACUUCAAAACACUAGUAGGAACUGGAGAAACAAAAAUAGAAGUCGACUGAAGGAACAAAAGGUAGAAAUCCAGAGCAGGAAAAAAAAUUGAUGUCUAGAAGAACAUUUAUUGUCACAAAAUAAUAACUUUGAUAGAAGUCCAGAAACAAAUAGAACACCAGAGCCGAAACAUUUUCAAUUAUGUAGUGCAUUUGGGACCGCACAGUUUCAGACCAAGAAGUGUAGAAGUUUACAUUGACAUAGAAAGCAGUACAAGAUUCCUUGUAGUCCAGUUGAAGCUCAUGUCUUGGUGUGCAAAAAAUAGGAAAAAGAAGUACUAAUGAAAAACAAGCAGUGCACAACCGGUUGUAGUAGCAGAUCUACUCUAUUGCAUUUUAAAACAUAGGUCCAGUUAAUAUGAAAAGAAUUUCAGAGAGCACAAGUAGGCUUCACAAUAUUAAAUUUUCACAAACUAGGCUUCACGCCAUUAAUUCCAGAUGGCCCAUUGCCGCUAUGGGACAAUUAUGAAGGACAUGAGAGUAUCAUCUUGCUAACUGGGAUGCUAUGAAAAGGGAGUAUGAGCGAUUUAAAAUGGACUCAUAUAUAUAUAUAAACUUCAUGAUCAUACACUACUAGAACAAAUUAUAUAAUUUAAUUACAUAGAAAUAUCAUCUUGACAACUGGAAGAUGGUCAUAUAAUUUACAUGUGGGGAGAUUAGUGCCUUCCCCGUUUCGAAAUGAAUAUUUGAUAGGUUGAAGUAAUGGUAGAUUGAUGUGGCAGUGAAGGGAUUUGGAAUACAUAAUUAAAAGUUUUAGCUAUAGUGUGGUAUGGAAAAUGCAAACUUGGAAACAAGAACAUAAAGCUUACCACAGAGAGACGACCAAGGUGGUUAGCAAGCAAGAGCGCACAUGAGACAGAACGGAAGAAGAAAGGGGAACUGAAGACUAACUUUGCAGCAGCCCUAAAUAUAGGCGGAUCGGAGAGCACGAUUGCACCGAUGGAUCAUAGGCGGGGUGGUGAAAUGAGUGGAGGUAAUGCUACCGCUAAUGCCCUAACGGUAGGGGGAUAGUUUUGAAUGCUCGGGUGGGAAGGGAAGGGAGGUAAUUUCUCUCCCUAUGGCCGCAACCCUUUGAACUCUCUCCUAUUUGGCUCAUUCCAAGAUAAUCAUGGUCAACCAAUAUGGUCACCGUCUUUUUACUUAUGCUAAGAUAUUCAGAAAAACAUUUAAAAGUAUAAUCGACAUGAAAAAAGAUGUUCACUCGUACAUGAGAAAAAGUCUGUGUAUUAUAGAAAUGUUAUUUAUAUAAUUUAUAUGAUUGUUCCUGCGAAGAAAUAUUCAAAAAUAGUCACUACAACAGAAGAUAAUCUUUAUCUAUGUAGAAAAUAUGUUCAGUAAAGUCGCACCAGUGGCACCCGGGGUAUCACCAUUGCGCAACGCGUGGGUCGCCUCGCUUGCUCCUUGCAAGGACGGCACCUCGGGCAGCGCGGUGCGAGCUGCUCGGGAAGCCACCAGCCCGGCAGGACUAGCCGAGCUGCGGGGGUUGCCCCGGAUGGCAGCGUGAAGGUUCCCGUCAGGGCGCCCCCGGGAAGGUCACUUGCCGGGGAGGGUGUUCCCUGGCGCAGACGCUUACAACAGGGCCGGCGCCCAAUGCAAGCAGAGUAUUGGCACCACGUGGCCACCCGGCAGGCUCCUUUUGUGCAGAGCUGGUCAGGGGGUGGAGUAUGGCACAAGCAAGCAUUAAAUGCUCCGACAGAAGGGUGGUUCCCCGUCUAGUCAGCCCACAGUGAGUGGCUCGCAGUAAAUCUAAGGCACGUACCGCCCUAGCUACAGCACUUUGCACCAUGCAUGCAUGCCAGCGCAGCAAGGGCAAACUGCCUAGGGUCUUUGCUCGACACUUGUCCCCCAUGCACCGAGGCACCUGUGGUAUCCCCUUGAGUAUAACAAGAGGACCAGCGCCAUCGGUCGGGGGCUUGGGUUCGGUUCUUUCUAGGUUACACUCCAGUGGAGUUUGAGUGAGAGUCUUUAGCCCGGAAGUAGCAAGUAGCCACUUAGCAGAAAAGGGAAGAGAAUGCCCGGGGGCUCUCCUGGCAACCUGUAAACACCUGCUCAUUGGCUAAUACAAACUCAGAAACAGGACGUAGGAUUUUACACCUCCGGGUGGCCCGAACCUGGGUAAACAGGCCUGUGCAUCGUACUCUCGUCAUUGGCCUCGUUGAUGAUCGCCGGAGCGAUCUCCAACGCCCACUGCUGAACCAAAAAGGGGGUGCCUUGCAUCCCCGGUGUCUCAGCCCCGGCCUACAACAUCUGGCGCGCCAGGUAGGGGGCGUGUGAGGAGAGCUCGUCGGUGACCGCCGGCGCCGACGUCUGCAGCUACAUCAGCUUCGUCUCCUCCUCCGACAGAACCCGUCGCUAUGCCUCCCAAGCGGGCUGGCGACUCUCGGAUCGACCCACGUGGUGCCCCAGCGGCGCACACGCGAUCACAUGACGUGCAGCCCACGUCGCAGGGCCAGGAGAACCUUGAGCCCUCCCGGGUGCAGCAGCAGUCGCAGCUGCCACCUCCGCCUCCUCGGCCGUCGGCGGACAAUCGGCUGAGGGGGCCAGCGGCUCCCAGUGUCGGAGCCAGCCGCGCGAGCGGCCACGACGCCGCCCGCGCCGGCCAGCGUGUCCACUCGCGGGCCAAAGACGCGUAGCGGCAAUUGCGCCACGAGCACACCGCGUCGCGUGUGACGCCGACGGGAUCUCGCGCUACUCACCCGGGGGCACCGGGGGACAGUGUGGAGGGCAGCCGGUCAGAGAAUCGGCAGCCUCCCGCCCAAACCCCGGCGGAGGCUAUCAUAGCCGCGCAUGUCAUGGUGCGCUACGAGCCAUCGCAAGGCAUGCCGGUGCAUGAGGCGUGGAGUGCGGAGCUGGACGCGCUCCUUGCGCUCACUGCCCAGCAGCCGCAAGGCGAGGGCGCUUUUGCUGGUUCAGGUCGAGGGCAGAACCCGGGACGCGGAGAAGCGCCCCGUGUCUCGGGGCAAGGAGAAAACCCUCCCCCGCAGGGAGGGCAAGGAGGCGAGGAUCCCGUGGGAUCCUCGGAAUUGUCACCGGCCGUUAGGCGGGGUGACGCGCGGGGUGUUUUGAACGCCCGCCAGCAAUAAGACCUCCGCCAGCGCCUGGAGCCCCGGCGCCGGCGUGAGGCAGAACGCCAAUGCCCAGAGGAGCAGGAGGAUGCUCCCAUGGGCGCCGAGGACGGCUGCACCGCGUUCACCCGCGGACUGCGCCUGGUGACAUGGCCCCGCAAGUUCCGAGCACCGGCGCUUGGAACGUACGAUGGGACCGUGAACCCCAAGAAUUUCCUCCUGACUUACACGUUGGGGAUGCAUACCAUCGGCGCCGACGACAAAGUCAGGGCCAACUGGUUCCCGAUGGUCCUCAAAGGAUCAGCGAGGACCUGGUUGCUCAACCUGCCCGCCGGGUCCAUAGCCUCCUGGGCUGACCUGCGCGAGCAGUUUGUGAGCUCGUUUCAGCGCGGCUACAAGCGCCCCGGAACCAUGGCGGAGCUGCACACCGUGGUGCAGAAGCUAGGGGAGACGUUGCGGAGCUUCGUCAACUGUUUCUCCAGUCUCUCCUACUCCAUUCCAGAGACGGAGGCUGCCGCCAUCAUCAACAACUUCGCCAUCAACAUCCGCGACCCCAAGAUGCGUGAGAAGCUGAGCAUGCACCGGAUCCGGACGACGCAAGAGCUCUACGCCUUGGCGCACAAGUGUGCCAUGGCCGAGGAAGGGCGUUUGGCGCCCGAACUUGCAGCUAAGGCUGCCGCGAGUGCCGCUGAGGGCUCGCAGAAGAAGGGCUACCGGAAGCGCUGCGGGAAGCAAGUCCUUGCCGCGGAACCGGGGGCUACCUCGAGGCCUGCGAAAAAGGCCUCGUCCGUCGGCGGGUCUGGUUGCAAGCCGGGCGACGCGCCCCGCUGCCCCAUCCACGCCAACGCCACCCAUGACGCGUAGGAUUGCCGCAUCCUGCAGGGCAUCAAGUAGAGGCGCGAGCAGCGCCACGAGGAGCGCCUCUCCCACGACUGCCCGAAUGACCCCAGAGCUUGAGCGAAGCCGGUCGGCAGGGAUGCUGGCAGAGAGGAAGCUUAGGAGGGUCGAGCCCAAGCCCGCGCCGGCAGGGAGCGGCCUCCCUGGGGACGAGACAAGGCUCGUGCUGAGGAGCAGCGCGGGUCCGACUACAGUGAGGGCGACGAGCCUGGCUUCCAGGAGCCUCGUGGCGUCGCCUGCAUCCAUGGGGGAGCUUAUGCUCUCUCAUCCCAUAGCGCGGUGAAGCGCCUCACCCGGGACAUGAGGCACAGCAGCCGUUGAAGUGGUCGCACGUGCCGAUCACUUUCAACUCUGACGAUCACCCAGCCCGGCAGCUGGGGUUAGGGGUUCUUCUCUUCGUGGUCUCACCGAUCAUCAACAACAUGACAGUGACCAAGGUGCUGGUGGACAACGGAGCGGAGUUAAACCUCCUGUCUGCCAGGUUGGUGGAGAAACUUCAGCUGCCGUUGGAGCAGAUGAAGCCCACCGACCCGUUCCGGGGAGUAAACCCCGGGAUCGUAGGGGGCGCAUCACGCUGCCGGUUACCUUCGGGUCCCGGGAAGCGUUCAGGACUGAGCACCUCGUGUUCAAUGUGGCUCACACCCCGUUGCCGUACAACGGGAUCCUUGGUCCGCCAGCGCUGAUCAAGUUCAUGGCGGCAACCCAUUGCGCCUACGGCGUGAUGAAGAUGCCGUCCACGUACGAAGUCCUCUCCAUCAAGUACGAUCUUAAGGACGCGGCUUGGUGUGUUGGCGAGGUCAUCAAGGCCGUCGCCGCAGCCGAUUCUGGUGACGAAGGCGCCGGAAGCGAAGGCUCGCUGCCGGGUGACUACCCCGCAGCGAAGAAGGCUCGUGUUACCCCGCAGCAGCUUGCCGGGGGAAGCACAAGCUCGAGCUCAUGCCCCGGCAAGGGCCAAAAGCUCAAGGAGGAGGCCGCCAAGGUGAAGAAGCUGCCCCUCUAGGCUGGCAACGAGGAGCGCACUGUCACCAUCGGUGCAAACCUCGAUGCCAAAUAGGAAAGCGUCCUGAUCACUUUCCGCCGGGAGAAUGCCGAUGUGUUCGCUUGGGAACCAUCGGAUCUUCCUGGAGUCCCUAGGGAGGUGAUCGAGCAUCGACUUGCGGUGCGUCCAAACGCCCACCCCGUCAAGCAGAAGAUCUGCUGGCAAGCGCAAGGACUUCAUCAAGCAAGAAGUGGACAAGCUGAAGGCUGUGGGGGCUAUCAGGGAAGUACUGUACUCCACUUGGUUAGCGAAUCCAGUUGUAGUACCCAAGGGGGAAAAUAAAUUACGCAUGUGUGUAGACUUUAUUGAUCUUAAUUGUGCAUGUCCCAAAGACCUUUUCCCUGUACCCCGUAUUGAUCAAAUAAUAGAUUCCACUGUCGGUUGCGAUUUUUUGUGUAUUUUGGAUGCUUUUUCCGGCUACCAUUAAAUCAAGAUGGCAGUCGAGGACGAGGAGAAAACGACGUUCAUCACCCCGGUUGGCUGCUACUGCUACACGUGCAUGCGUUUCGGGUUGAAGAACGCGGGCUCAACAUUCCAGCGUGCAUUGCGCGAGUGUUUGGGACCCCAGUUAGGCCGAAACGUUGAGGCCUACAUGGAUGAUAUCGUCAUCAAGUCAAAGCGCGAGGACUCGCUUAUUGAUGACUUGCGGGAGACGUUUGAUAACCUCCGCAGGAUCAAGCUUAAGUUGAACCCUGAGAAAUGCAUUUUUGGUGUAGACUCGGGGCAGCUUCUAGGCUUCUUGGUUUCACACAGGGGGAUUCAGGCCAACCCAAAGAAGAUAGAAGCUAUCGAGAAGAUGGAGGCUCCCCGCAGGGUGAAGGACGUUCAGCGCCUCAACGGCUGUGUAGCCGCGCUGGAGCGCUUCAUUUCAAGGCUGGGCGAACGCGCCUUGCCUUUCUUCAGGGUAAUGAAGAAGAAGGGCCCGAUUGAUUGGACCCCUGAGGCUGAGGCGGCGUUCCAGGACCUGAAGCGGUACCUGAAGUCGCCGCCAAUCCUCGUCGCCCCCAAGUCGGGUGAGCCGUUGCUGCUCUACCUAGCGGCGACUGACCAAGUGGUCAGCUCGGUGCUUGUUGCUGAGAGAGAAGAAGAUCUCCGGGGGGCUGAGCCUGCGGGGCCGGGGGCUGAGUCAGCCUCGGCAACCGCCUCGGACCCGGGAAACGCCAUCGAGCCGGCGGCGUCGACGCCACGCAAGCGACUCGUGCAGCACCCUGUGUACUUCGUCAGCACGGUGCUGUGCGACGCCCGCGCACGGUACCCGCAAGUGCAGAAGCUCUUGCUGGGGAUUCUGCUUGCAUCAUGCAAGUUGCGCCAUUACUUUCAGGCGCACCGCAUAACGGUGGUGUCAGGAUUCUGCCUCAAGCGGGCCCUCACCAACCGUGAAGCCAUCGGGAGAGUGGCCGAGUGGAGGAUGGAGUUGUCGGAGUUUGAUCUACACUUCACGAACACCAAGAGUAUCAAGAGUGCCGCUCUGGCUGAUUUCGUUGCAGAAUGGACCUCGACAAGCAUAGAAGAAGAGGAGCUAGAGACCAGCCUGGCCGGCAAGCUGGACGAAGGCCACCGGAUCAUGUACUUCGACGGCGCGUUCAGCCUGCAGGGGGUUGGCGCCGGAGUCGUCAUCGAGUCACCUACGGGCGACCAGUUGAAAUUCGCCAUCCAAUUCGACUUCCCCAACUCCACCAACAACACGGCUGAGUACGAGGGGUUGCUCGCGGGGAUUCCCAACUCGUGAUCAACCAGGUUAACAAGGGCUACGACUGCCCGCAGAUGGCAGCGUACGUGGAUGAAGUCCGCAAGCUGGAACGCAAGUUCAAGGGUUUGCGAUUCGAGCACAUCAAGCGCAAGGAUAACUUCGCGGCUGAUGAACUGUCCAAGUGGGCAACGGAGCGCCGGAAAGUCCCGGCGGGAGUGUUCUGGCACAGGCAGAUUGCGUCUUCAGUCACUCCCAAGCCGGCUGCCCGGGAAGCUCGCCGGCAACCGAAGGAAACCCUGCAACAGCGGAGGUCCAUGCCGCUGAUGUGUCGGCAUGCAUGAGUAGGGAAACCCCGCCUUGGGGGGUGGACAUCGCCCGCUACCUCAAGAAGGGAGCCCUCCCUGAAGACGACGUUGCCGCGGAGCGCGUAGCCCGGCAAGCCAAGAUGUACGCUCUGGUAGACGGGGAUCUCUACCGGAGGCGUGCAAAUGGAGUAAAGCUCCUCUGCGUGCCCCAAGACGAAGGCCGCACGCUUCUGGAAGACAUACACCGAGGCACAUGCUCGCACCAUGUGGCCUCCCGGGCUUUAGCUGGCAAAGCUUUUCGGCACGGCUUUUACUGGCCUACAGCAUUAGCCGAUGCCGAGCAACUAGUCAAGACAUGCGAGGCGUGCCAGUUCCAUGCAAAGAAGAGUAAUUAGCCGGCACAAGCCCUGCAAAUCAUUCCAUCCUCCUGGCCGUUCGCGGUCUGGGGGCUGGACAUCGUCGGCAAGUUCUCGAGAGCGGUUGGCGGCUACGAGUAUUUACUCGUGGCCAUCGACAAGUUCUCUAAGUGAGUGGAAGUGGAACCAGUGCGGAAGGUGACCGCUCAGGUGGCCAUCAAGUUCUUCAAGGGCAUUGUGUGCCGGUUUGGUGUGCCUAACGGCAUCAUCACCGAUAAUGGCACACAAUUUACAAGCGUCGUGUUCCAAGCUUACUGCGAGAACAUGGGCACCAAGAUCCACUUCGCCUCUGUUGCUCACCCGAGGAGCAACGGACAGGCGGAGCGAGCCAACGCGGAGGUGCUGCGGGGACUCAAGACGAGAACCUUUGAUAAGCUCAAAGGCCACGGGAAGCACUGGGUUGAAGAACUCCAGCCCGUGCUGUGGUCGAUCAGGACCACACCUAGCUGGGCAACGGGUGAAACUUCUUUCGCCUUUGUCUACGGGGCAGAAGCGGUGCUGCCCCUCGAGCUCAAGCACGGAUCCCCUCGGAUACGCGCGUACGGCAAGCAUAGCCAACACGAGCAGAGGGUUGACGAUCUUAACUUCAUCGAAGAACUUCGAUUCCGGGCUGCUGUACGAGCUGUGCGCUAUCAGCAGGGACUCCGCCGUUAUCAUGACAGGCGGGUCCGUGUCCGGGAGCUCGAGGUCGGAGACCUUGUCCUGCGCUGGAUACAAGGAACGAAGGCCGGGAACAAGUUGGCUCCGAAAUGGGAGGGCCCCUUCCGGGUAGUGCAGGUGACCAGGCCGGGGGCUGUCCGGCUGGAAACCGAAGAAGGCUUGCCGGUGCAAAACAGUUGGAAUCUUGAGCACUUGCGCAAGUUCUACCCGUGAAGCGGCGAAGCCUGACCUAUGGGCGAUGCUGCUGCAGCAUGCCUCUCGAACUAGUGUAGCCGGGCAACCCUUGAUUGUAAUCCGCUAGUUUCUACGAAUAAAGAUAAGUGAUUUCCUCUGAAUUUCAAGUUGACUCGAUUAUUGCAUGUGCUUUCUUCUGUCAUUUGCUCUAGGUGCACAGAAGUCUCUUUUCCAUCCUUGGUUGUGAUCAGGGGCUGGCGGAGCCUCAAAAACAGAAAUCCCGUUGCCGGAUCACUCUGACACGGGGUCGUGGCGUUGCUAGGUCCCCCGCAACGCGCACCACGCGACAGCAGCGUCUUGGGAACGAAAAAGUGCUCACACCCAAGUUUGGUAUCAACCGUUCUGUGCCCGGGGGCUAGGAGGCAGGAGGCGUGCGAGUCCCCGGCAACACAAAGCGCAACACACGAGGACAGGAAGAUCCACCCCACGAGUCAAUUCCAGGAGCAAGUGUAGAACCACUGUCCGGGCUCCGGCAAUGCCGCCGGCCUCGUCGCCGGAGGACUCGUCGCCGGGCCAGCUAGAAUCCGAUUCCCCCUCGCUUUCCUCGGCCACUUGCUUCCCACGGGCUGUGGGUGGCGGAGGCUUCGAGGCUGGGACUAGGGGAUCGGACAUCAGCCCCCACUCGUUGCAGGGUGGGUAGCUGUUGAUGAUGUCGUGAAGGCCCGCGACGCCGUCGUGAAGGGAUGGAGCCCCUGGGGGCAGCUCCGUGAAUGGAACGUCCUCGCCGGUGAUUCCCUUCACCCAUUCCUGGAUCACCUCCGACGUCACACCCACGCUUUGCGGGCGCGUGGUGUCGCCGGGCCCUGUGUACAUCCACGCAGGGCGGGACCGCAGCUGCAGCGGCGCGAUGCGCCGGCUGAUGGAGGUGCGCGCCACAUCCAGAUCGGUGAGCCGCGCUAGCCGCAGGGCCUUGAUCUUCUGGAUGAUGGGAAGGAGUUCCGCGUCUCGGCUGUAGCGGUCCUGCCAGCUACCGUUACUCGCCGGCAGCUCGGUGGGCACAUUAAUGAACUCGUCGGGCUCAUCCACGCGAACCAAACACCAGCUCCCGCGCCACUCCUUCUCGAUCUUCUUCUCGCUCUGCACGAUGAACUCUGACUUCAUCUUGUCGCGGGCAUGGAACGAGACCCCCGACGACAUCGCUCCCGACUGCUCGACGCGCGGGUAGAAGUAAUGACGGAACAACGCCACCGAUGGCAUCACCCCGACAAACCCUCACAGAGAAAUUGGAAGACGGCGAGAAGGAAGAGGGAAGUGGGGUGGAGCUGCGCAACCUUCAGCUGGUAUGCCGCCAUGAGAGCCUGGACGAAGAGGGAGUACGGAGGUACGAACCCAGCAAGGAUGAAGCGGCCGAACACCCGGAAGUCGUUGUCCUGGUGGUCGCCGCCGGCGGGGAAGGUGAGCGUCUCGCCGUACUCGUUGAACGAGGAGGCAACACGUGCCGGAUCUUGUCGACCCCCUCGCCGUUGUAGCCGGGCUUGAAGAAGGCCCGCGUGGCCCUCAUCUCCCGGUUCUUCUGGUCCUUCUCCGACAAGGGCUUCUUGGGGGCUUUCUCGCCCUUCUCGACCGUAGAGCUUUUGGAACCCUUCCCUCUCUUGGGGGACGUAGGCGCCAUGAGGAAUGUGGGCGGCGAUUAGCAUGAUUCAGGAACGCAAGGAGGAAUCGGGAUGAGGAAGAAGGACUGGGGGCUAAGUGAUUGCCCCUCAGCGCAGCGGUGGGUUUUUAUAGCACCCCAGCGUUGAGCAACGGUCGCAUCCGCACGCUACGGGUGCGCUGGGGAUAACUACGCUUAAAGAAGGGGAGUGCGGGACAUGGCCUUAACCACCCACAGUUAAGGGGAGGUUAGGGCGGAAAUCUCGGCCCCACCACUCUGCCUGUAACGGCAGAGCCCUAGGAGCAGCACAUGAACGGGAACCCGAAACGACUCGGGACCCACGCGUCGGUUAAGGGCAUAGCCCGGCAACCGACCAAGGAUGACUUCGCCCGGGAACAGGCGUUGCCGGCCCACGCCCAGGGGCUACUGUCGCACCAGUGGAACCCGGGGUACCACCAUUGCGCAACGCGUGGGUCGCCUCGCUUGCUCCCCGCAAGGAUGGCACCCCGGGCAGCGCGGUGCGAGCUGCCCGAGAAGCCACCAGCCUGGCAGGACUUGCCGGCUGCGGGGGUUGCCCCGGAUGGCAGCGUGAAGGUUCCCGUCAGGUCACUUGCCGGGGAGGGUGUUCCCUGGCGCAGGCGCUUACAACAGGGCCGGCGCCCAAUGCAAGCAGAGUAUUGGCACCACGUGGCCGCCCGGCAGGCUCCUUUUGUGCAGGGCUGGUCAGGGCAUGGAGUAUGGCACAAGCAAGCAUUAAAUGCUCCGACAGAAGGGUGGUUCCCUGUCUAGUCAGCCCCAGUGAGUGGCUCGCAGUAAAUCUAAGGCACGUACCGCCCUAGCUACAGCACUUUGCACCAUGCAUGCAUGCCAGCGCAGCAAGGGCAAGCUGCCUAGGGUCUUUGCUCGACACUUGUCCCCCAUGCACCGAGGCACCUGUGGUAUCCCCUUGGGUAUAACAGGAGGACCAGCGCCAUCGGUCGGGGGGUUGGGUUCGGUUCUUUCUAGGUUACACUCCAGUGGAGUUUGAGUGAGAGUCUUCAGCCCAGAAGUAGCAAGUAGCCACUUAGCAGAAAAGGGAAGAGAACCGGGGGGGGGGGGGGCAACCUGUAAACACCUGCUCAUUGGUAAUACAAAAUCAGAAGCAGGACGCAGGGUUUUACACCUCCGGGCGGCCCGAACCUGGGUAAACAGGCUUGUGCAUUGUACGCUCGUCACUGGCCUCGCCGGCAAUCGCCGGAGUGAUCCCCAACGCCCAUUGCCGAACCAAAAAGGGGGUGCCUCGCAUCCCUGGUGUCUAAGCCCCGGGCUACGACAAGUAAGCUUACUAAAGAUGUUCACCAUGUUAGGAUUGUAAUGUUCAUCUAUUGGUGCAUUUUGUAUUUUCCAGAACAUUGUCACAUAUUUGAUCCCGCCGAGAUAUCUUUGCAAGGUAGAUAAUUUUUCUAUUCAAGAUUGCCGCAUCUUUAUUUGGGAGAUGGUGGAAUUUCCCCAUCUUUUCUUCUGUUCUUAAGUCUCUAAUUGAGAAAGUCCGGUUGUUGUAAUCCACCAAUUCAUUAACAUACCACUGAACCUAAGAACAGUUGUUAAAUGGGCAAGUGUCGAGCCUGGUUCGCAAACAAUAGUCUAAGCUGCACCCCUUGUUCAAAUUUUAAGCUUUAUAAUUUUGUAAAGUUAUCUGAAAUUAUGCUGACCCAUUUAGAGAAGCAACAAACAUGCCAAGCAACUGAUGGACAAUGUUAUAUUUCUUUUUCAUGUGGGAUGAGGCCAGAGGCGAAUCUAAGAACAGGUCUAGCAGUUCUCCUCCCAUUCCAAAAUACAAGCCGUGUAAUUUUUGUUGACUUUCAAACUUGUAAAGUUUGACCAAAUUUAUAGCAAAAAAUAUCAACACCUCCACCGUGACAUAUAUUUUGAUAUUAUAUUUUGUUUGAUGAAACUUGACAAAUUUUAUAAAGUUUGAUACUCCUUGUAUUGUAGAAACGGCCCAGCUGGGUCAGAUAGAAAACAUCCUUGUACUUGAGCCGUUAAAACUAGUAUGAGUAAGGCCUAUGCUAUGCGAGAGUUGAGAGCCUAGGAUUUGAUUCGAUUUUGCAUGCUGCACGCUGGACAACAGGACCUCCUUGCAUCGGUACACAAGGCUCUCACCUCUAUUUUUUGCUGUUACUCUUGCUGCUGUUACUGUUGUACCAUCUCUGAUUGCAUUGGAUGAGCAUAUGCAUUGUUUGUUGAAAUUAGCUUCUCUGGAUUAUGUUCUGCAACGCGUUUGUUGAGUAAACACAAGAACACCUGUACUUGCUUCCUUUGAAGGUAAUCUCCAAACAACAAGAAAGUUGUCUGCUUCUGCGUGUCUGAUUUGCAAUAUGUACACCGGGAAAUCCUUUGAGGGUCCUGGUAGUCAUUCAGCUUCAGGCAGACGUGAUCUCCCCUGCCGUCAGUCAAAGCCUAUUUUCACCCCUGAAACAAAGACAUCCUGAUUCUUCCAAUUCAAGGGCACGACCAGGUCAAUUUUAACCUAACAGGAAAAUGAAAUCUGCACUGCAGAUAUAUCUCGUGGUUUAUCACUUACGCACAUAUCUAGGGAUAAACUGUUUUCCCUUUUUCUUCUCCUGGACGUGCGUGCUUGGAUUACCAGGAACUACAAGGUAGCAUCUCUAGUGUGUUGCUUGAUUUGCAGUCCACGCUUUCACUGGACUUGUACUGAUAAAUGGUCAAAGUUGAAUCUUCUAUUUAUAUGAUUUAUUGCCCAGGGUUUGCAGGACAAGAUUAAGCUAGUCCUGAAUGAUCUGGCAGACAGGCCAACUAGGUACAAGGAGAAGGUUUAUCCAGAGAACAAGGUUUGGCUAAUCUUAGUUCUUCCUCACGGGCACAAUAUCUUGCUCUGUUUGCAGUUCAUCAUUUCUCUGAUAUCCAUGCACACUUACCUUUAUUUUUCUGCUAGUGCCUUCACUGGAGCAUGACAACCAGGUGAAAGGCGAGAGCUUGGAUUGGGUCAAGUACAUUGAUAGCAAUUUCGAAGGCCCAACUUUGCUUACUGAAGUAUGCACAUAUUUAAUAUGUUCAACCAUCAUGAGCGUGAUGCUUGUACAAAGGUACAGCAAUUUCUUGGUGUUAUUUACUUUUGCAUUCAUAAAUUGGCAGGAUUCUGCACAGCAGUCUGCUGAGGAGCUACUCGUGUAUACAGAUGAGUUUAACGAAGCAUUACACUCAUCCAUACUCUCCAAGGGAGAUGUGUCAGAGGAAACUGGUAAAAGAGCAUAGCUAUACACCUGUAACUUGUUUAACAAUUUGUUCUACAGGCCGCAAUUUUUAUUCAUAUUAUAAUUCCAAUCUCUCAUGCAUUAUACUUUCAUUAGUUGCUGGGCUGGAUAAAACAUAAGCUGCCCUGGGAAAGUUUACAGAUGGUCGUUUCUUCCUUGGCCAGUUCAGUUCGGUAUGCCACAUCUGGCUGUUAUUCCUUUAAUUUCCUUUGAUAAAGGACUAGAAAGAAUUGUGGUUGACAUGUUAUCUUGCUGUGAUGUUACUUUCUGCACAGGUACUGCAUAUCUGGCAUUUGUCGUAAGGUUUCAGAUUUUCUUUUCUGGUAUCAAGAACUGUGAUAUCACCAAGGGCAGAUUGAACGUUCAGAAAUACAUCUAGGUAAUUAUGAAUGAUGCGAAACGAGAUUGUGCCAUAUUUUAAUGUUAUGUUUGGAGGAAUUUAAGGAUACUCCCCAAAUUAUAUGACCCGUUGAUUUUCCAAGAAACAAUGGCUAGUACUAUGUAAUUUUUGUGAACACCGUGACAAUACUACUGUUGCCUUAUGGUAGGUAAGAUGUAACUAAUGACCUUAUAAAGUUAGUGUAGAUUUUACACUUUGCACAAAUAUGGAGUGAAUGAUUUUUUUCGAAAAGGAGGAAAGCCCCGGCCUCUGCAUCGAUCGAUGCACACAGCCAUAUAUUAUUAAAAUCAUCCAUCAUCCAAAAUCAUCCAAAGAACAAGUAGCUGGUUACCAAAGGAAAAUUACAUAGAGUGAAAGGAAAACAUCAAAAUCCUUCCAGCCUAAGACCUGUGUGCCAUCCAAACCGGCUGAAUAACUCCCGUGCGACCGUCUCCAAACGGUGCACCCAGAAUCAAUACAUUUCUGAGCCUCUGUCUGAAGCAGUAGAGACCACAUAUGGAGCCAAUGGUAUGCCUGAAGAACGACCUGUAAGAAGUUAGCCACUCUCUUGUUAUGAAAAACCAAAUCAUUUCUGCAAUUCCAUAUAGAUCAACAUAUCGCACACAUCCCUACAAGGAUGAGCGAGGCAAAUUUUUUCUCAACACCCUUAAGCCACCGCCCAAACAUAUUAGUAACACAAGAUGGCAGUGGUAAAUUAAAUGUCACAAAGACGGUUCGCCACACCAAACGCGCCAUCGGACACUGGAAAAAAAGAUGUUGAAUGGUCUCAUCUUGAUCACCGAAAACACACUUCUUGCUACCACUCCAAUUCCUUUUGGCCAAAUUAUCCUUAGUAAGCACCAGCCCCGACAUAAGUACCAAGCAAAAAAAUUUAUUUUAAGAGGAACUUUAAGUUUCCAAAUAACGUUUGACGAAAUUGGCAAUCAUUAUCAAUAAGCGAGUUGUACAGCGAUUUCACCAAAUAUGACCCAGAAGAAUUCAGUCUCCAGGUAAAGGAAUCCGCUUGAUGCACAAGAUUUACAGACUCGAGAUUAUGACACAACUCCAACCAAUCCACCAGACGAUCCCCAACAAUUGCUCUACGAAAUGCAAUAUUAGGAGGAUCCGCCCCCAACACUUCAGCAACCGAAGCCUUAUGGUUAAAAGCAAUCCUAUAAAGAGAUGGAAACUGACGUCUAAGAGGAGAGUCACCAAACCAUGUAUCUUCUCAAAAACAAACAUCGGCUCCACAAUUAACAAAAAAGAAAUAUGAGGAAAAAAAAACUGACAAAUCCGCAGCAAUCCCUUCCAAAAAGGUUAAUCAUAAGCCCUCAUUCGAACUUGGGACAAAGAGCUUGCGUAGAGAUAUUUAUUCCGCAAUAACUCCACCCACAACCCCUCACCCGAAAGAAUCUUAUAUAGCCACUUACUCAACAAACAAAUAUUUUUAAUCUCGAAAUUCUCAAUCCCCAAACCUCCUUGAUCACAAGGCCGGCAUAGGAUAUCCCACUUAGCCAAUCUGUAUUUUCUUUUUUGUUCAUCGCAUUACCAAAAGAAUCUCGAACUAUAGAAAUCCAAUCUUUUAAAGACCCCUUUUGGAAUUUCAAAGAAGGACAUCAUGAACAUAGGAAAACUAGUUAAGACCGAAUUAAUAAGCGUAAGAUGGCCACCACUAGACAAAAGCCUUCUUUUCCAACAACUUAGCUUCUUCUCAAAACGAUCCUCGACACCUUUCCAUUCUUUAUUCAUCAACUUACGGUAAUGGAUCGGAAUUCCUAGAUAACGAAAAGGAAACGAACCCACCCCGCACCCAAAUAAUUGAGUAUACUGGUCUUCACACUCCUUCGCUUGGCCAAAACAAAAUAAUUCGCUUUUAUGAAAAUUAAUCUUAAGCCCCGACAGCUGCUCAAAAACGCAUAAGAGCAACUUUAAAAAUUUAGCUUGUUGGAGAUCAUGCUCAAGAAAGAUCACAGUAUCAUCAGCGUACUGGAGUAUCGACACACCUCCAUCUACAAUAUGCGGGAAAACCCCAUUUAAACGACCAAUACCCUUAGCCCUCUCUACCAGCACUGCCAACAUAUCUGCCACAAUGUUAAAAAGCACUGGAGACAACAGAUCCCCCUGCUGCCUUUCACAGUCUGAAAAUAAUGCCCAAUCUUGUCAUUCACUCUGACACCAACACUCCCUUCCUUCACAAAAUCUUCAAUCCAAGCACACCACUUCUCAUCAAAACCUUUCAUCCUAAGAGCCUGUUGAAGAAAGGACCAUCUAACCUUAUCGUAAGCCUUUUCAAAAUAAAUUUUUAAAAUCAGCCCAUCUAAUUUUCUGGUAUGCAACUCAUGAACCGUUUCAUGUAACACGACUACACCCUCCAAAAUGUGCCGCUCAGACAUGAAGGCAGACCGCGUAGGUUUAAUAACCGAACUGGCCACAACAUUAAUUCGGUUAGUACAAACUUUCGUGAAAAUUUUAUAGCAAACAUUCAACAGACAUAUAGGCCUAUAUUGUUGAAUCUGAGAAGCAUCCUCUUUCUUUGGCAACAAAGUGAUUAUCCCAAAAUUUAAACGAAAAAUUGGGAGAGAUCCAGUAUGAAAGUCAGCAAAAAGAGCCAUCAAAUCAUCCUUAAUCACCGCCCAAAACAUUUGAUAAAACUCAGCCGGGAGACCAUCAGGACCCGGAGCCUUAUUGGGAUUCAUCUGAAAGAUCGCCUCACGCACUUCCUCCUCCGAAAAUGGUGCGGUAAGAAUGGUAUUCUCCUUCGGACUAACACGCUCAAGGUCAACCAACAUUGAUUCAUCCAUAGAAACUGUACUAGCCUCUGAUGGACCAAACAAUUGCUUGUAAUAAUUGGUGAUAUACAGUCUCAGCUGUUCAUCACCAACAAUCGUACCUUCCGACUGCUCAAGCUGAAAAAUUUGCUUCUUACGAUGCUUCCCAUUAGCAACCAAAUGAGAGUAACGCGUAUUAUUAUCACCAUUACGGACACUAUUAACUUUCGCCCUCUGUGACCAUUUAGACUCAUCAUCACGAUACAAAGCCGCUAACUGAUCAUCAGCAAGGCGCUUAGCCGCCCAAUCAUCACAGGACAAGGGACCAAGCUCAGCCCGCACAUCUAAUUCCUCUACCAAUCGCAAAAGGCGAUCCCUCUCAAGCUUAAAAACACUGCUAAGAUUUUUAGCCCAACCCCUUAAAAAUUGUCUAAUAUGUCUAAUAUGAUUUUGCCAACAUUCAAUAGCGGACAGACCCCGAGAAACCUUCCUCCACUCAGCUGCAAUAGUCUCGAAAAAGCCUUCUUUCGGCAACCAAGAUAAUUCGAAACUAAAACAAGCCUGAUUACCAAGAUGAGCAGCAUCCCCAGAAUCUAACAACAAGGGACAAUGAUCAGAAAGAGACCGCUACAAAGCAUGCACCGAGACAAGCGGAAAUUUAGCCUCCCAUUCCGUACUCAUUAAAACCCGAUCCAAUUUUUCGUAAGUCGGGAUGGGAAGAUUAUUAGCCCAAGUAAACUGCCUACCCGAAAGUUCAAUCUUACGGAGGUCCAAACUCUCAAUGAUCGCAUUGAAAAGAAAGAGCCAACGUUCCUGAAAGGCAUCGGAACUCUUCUCUUCCUGUCUACGGAUAAUAUUAAAAUCACCGUCCACCAAAGGAAGAGUCUCAGACGAGCAGAACUGUACCAACUUAGUCAAAAAAACAGAUUUAAACUGAGGUUGAGCAGCCCCAUAAACCGCCACCAACACCCAUCUAAAACCGUCAGACUUCAAUUUGAGGCUAAACUUAACACAGAAGUCGCCCGCAUCGACAGACAGCACCUCCAGUAAAUUCGCAUUUAACCCCAACAACAUACUUCCUGAACGACCCUUCGGUGGGAGACAGUGCCAAAUUAAAUCUAAUCCACCCACGAUAUGAUUAAGAAAGCCAGUUGAGAAGUAUGAUCGUCCCAUUUCCAUGAGGACAAUAAAAUCAAGAUUAUGCUCUCAAACAACACCCGCCAAAAAACCGUGCUUAGCCAAGUCACGAAGACCUCUGCUAUUCCAGAACAUUCCUUUCAUGAGGUAACAACUUGUUUUUUUAAUUUUUAAAGCACGACCACGUGGACGCCCCACCUUGGUCUGCUUUUUUCCAACAACAACCCCUCGAGAGCGAGAAGGAAGAGACUCACACAGGACCUCUUCCUCCUCCUCAUCAGACAAGUCACGACAUAAUUGUUAUGCCGAAUCUAACAAAAGACAAUUAGAAGUAUCUGGAAACCUCUCAAUUUUCUUGGCACACAGAACAUGUAAAUUAGCCGCUAACCGGUCAAUUUCAUUAUUUUUAAUCAAAUGAAUAGUCCUAGAAAUUUCUUUAGCACCCGUACCUAAAGAAACCCCUAAACUAGACAUGUCUGAAGCAAUAUCAUCAUCAGAAAUAGAAAGAAUAGAAUUUUCAAGCUCCACAUUCAUACCUGUUUCAGCUUCAAGAUUCCGGAUUUUAGCAAGUCGCAUUGCCUUGUUGAUCAUCGCCUCAUCGGAAUCAGCUUGGGCCGCUAGAUGCGCGCUGAAACGCGAAGGCGGCGGGUACUUGCGACGGCUCCCUCGCGCUCCAACAGCGGGAGCCGCACCCCCCUGAGGUGCAGCCAACACCUUGUCAUCGCCCCCCCCCCCCCCCCCCCCCAUCACAAUGGCCUGCAACCGAGGACAGUAAUGGAGGAAACUCCACCGGCGAGUCCAGCUUCAAGCUCGACUCCGACGGUGAGGGAGGCGACACAGACUGCGGCAGCACGGACGACGGAGACGGCGACCGACGAACCGGCGACUCGGCUCGCGGACUCACGACCUCUCCCUCGGCCACCCGCACCUGCACAUCAACAACACCAAAAUCGGAGGCAGAAAGUAGAGGCGCCGCCUGCACCUCCGCCGCCGCCAACGGGCACGCAGCAGCGGGCGGUGGCGCCUCGUGCACGACCUGCUCCGCCAGCGGACAGAGAGCCACAGCGGGUGAUGCCUCCUGCACCACCCCGACAACCGGCAAAGAAACAGCGUCCGGUGGUGCCUCCUGCACCACCAACGCUGCCGGCGAGGUUGCCGCUGCCGGCAGUGCCUCCUGCAGUACCGCGGCAGCCGGCAAAGAAGCCAGCACGACAGCCGGCACAGCCGCAGCCGGCGGUGCCUCCUGCACCACCACGACUGCUGACGCCGAAGCAGCCACCGGUGGUGCCUCCUGCACCACCUUAGCUGCCGGUGAGCAGCAGGACAGAACGGCCGAAGGUGGUGCCUCCUGCACUACCUCAGUCAUCCCAAGCCCCGAGGACGGAGGUGCCACCUGCACCUCCAACUCCGAAGAAGAUGGCACCAGCACCUCCGACACAAUGGGCUCCGGGAACAUCUUGAACGGAGAAAGAAAGCCCACACCAGUAGCACAACCCGUCCGAAAAAUCAAACCACGCAUAACCGGUGGAGCAGACGACGAACCUCCCAAAUUCCCAACCGGCAACUCCUGAGAUGGGUUGGAACGCUUACCAGAUCUCCUCUCCUCAUCCCGCUUUUUAUUAUCAAGAUCUUUCAUAUCAUCUAACACCUCAUCAUCCAUAUCAUCAUUAUUAUCCGGAUCACGCCUAUCCCUGUUACCAUCAUCACCAUCAUCAUCAUCAUUCAUAGCCUCAUCCUCUGAAGGUUCCACCAGAAAGGAGAGUCUAUAGCCACGACCCUCAUGACGAAGAUCCGUACCCGGCGGAAUAGCAGAAAUAUUAGUAACACUGACACGAACCCGUGCCACACCAUGGCGACGAGAGAAAGGCAUAUCCACAUCAAUUGUAGUACCCAACAAAGUACCUAGCCCCCAAAUGGCCCUGUAAUUAAAAAGAUCACGUGGAACAUUACCAACAUGAACCCACGUAUCCUGAAACUCAAAAGAGGCAGUCGAAGAUGAAGUCCAUUCAUCCACCCUGAACCUCAACUCUGAAUUUGGAACCUGGAUCACACCAACCCUGACAAGCCUCUGCAACUCACCACGUGUAGGAAACAAAACCACAAAAUCAGAGAUCCCCUGAGCCGUGACCUCCCACUGAAAGUUAGAUACCGGAAUGAGCCUUUGCAUCUCCGCCACAACCCGUUCCUGUGACAUCGAACCACCCUCAACCUGAAUCAGCCCCUUUCUAUUACUAUCAGCCUUAGGAACCACCACCGCCUCCUCAGGAAGUUCAAAGUAAAACAAAUCAUCCGCCAGAGUACCACAGGACCACACGGCAAGUUUAGUCAAACGAGGAAGCUCGCACUCAGCUGAGACAUGAUCCACCUUCUCACAAAAAUCACAAAGGACAGCAGUGCACAUCGACGAGUAGUGUCCCUUCUGCUCACACCGAAAACACCGAACCUUAGCCAAAGGAUUAGCAACUGCAACAUCGUUACUCCCAGCACUCACCCCCUAUCCUGCCGCGGCAGAAAGCCGUCCUGCCGCCACAGCACCCACGGCAGAACCCUGAGAAACACCAGCCCCCACAACAGCCUGUCCAGACGCGGCAACAGCAGUACGUCUCCCUGCCACAGCAACCAUCAAGCCAGCCGGAGCCCCCUGUGCUGCCGCGGCAACCUUCAGCCCUGCGCGCAGCCGUCUGCCCUGCCGCGGCAGCCGUCUGCCCUGCCGCGGCAGCCGUCUGCCCUGCCGCGGCAGCCGUCUGCCCUGCCGCGGCAGUCGCCUGCCCUGCCGCGGUAACCGCCUGCCCUGCCACUGCAGAAACCUGCCCAGCCACGCCGGCCACAACAACACCAGCCGCCCCCUUUCCUGCCGCGGCAGAAACCUGCCCUGCCGCGGUAGCGAUCCCUGCCGCAGUCCCUCCUUGCCCAGAAGCAAUCACCGAGGAACCCAUCUCCGCCCCCAUCAUCUCACCACCACCUUGCUGCCCUCCGGCACCCUGCUGAAAACCACGACCCCAACGUCGACCACCCCCACGUCCUUGGUAGGAAAAUCGGCCACGAGACUGCCCAAAGCGAAAAUUCCGACCUCCACGAUAGCCAUUACCAUACCCAUAUCCACCGCCACCAUACCCACCGCCAAAAUCAUUACCAUAGCCUCCACCAUAACCAGAACGAAAACCACCGAAAUUAUUCCCAUAGCCACCACCAUUGCCUCCACGGAAGCCCCCACCAUUGCCCCCAUGAUAACCUCCACCAAAACCUCCCUGUGCAGCAGCAUUGCCUCCAUCGAACCCUCCCUGAGCACGGCCUCCAUCGCACCUCCUGCCGCCAGCAUCCCCUGACCUGCCGCGGCAGCGGACUGCCCUGCCGCAGCAGCAAAUCCUGCCGCACCUCCUGCCGCGCCUCCUGCCGCAGCAGCGAAUCCGGCCGCACCACCUGCCGCACCUCCUGCCGCCAGCAUCCCCUGCCCUGCCGCGGCAGCCGCCUGUCCUGCCGCGGGGAACAACUGCCCUGCCGCGGCACUUGCCGGCAGGCCCCCGCCGCCACUGAUCUCCUGGCCGCCACCAACACCACCAGACGCCGGAUCCAUCGAUCGAUCGAUAGGAAAGUGCAGCCCUAGCCGCCUAGACGCCUAUGGAGUGAAUGAUGAUGCCAUUGAAGCAAAUUGGUCAAUUAUGAAGAGAUGUGACAAUUUUGAAGAGAAAAUUAUAUGGAUUUCUCAUUUUAGUGACUUAAGAGCAAAACAGAAGAUGAGAAAAUUCCACCAUCUCCCACAAAGAGAUGUGCCAAUCUUGAAGAGAAAAUUAUCUGCCUUGCAAAGAUAUCUCGAUGGGAUCAAAUAUAUGACGAGGUUUUGGAAAAUACAAAAUGCACCUAUUUUUUGCUUUUGUCCUGUUAAUAAUAGAUGAAUAUUACUUUCCCAACAUGAUGAACAUGUUUAUGACAAUUUUUUAAUAGGUGAAUAUUAUCUUUUGUUUUAUUGACUAUUUUUUAAUAGAUGAAAAUUAUCCUUUGUUGUAUUGACUAUUUUUUAAUGUUGCCUCGCAUAAACAAUUAUAUAAAAUAUAUAUGAAUAAAUUUUCUAUAAUACAUGAAUAUUUUUCAUGAAUGAGUGAACAUCUUUUUUCAUGUAGUUUAUACUCUUAAAUGUUUUUGUGAAUAUCUCAGUAUAAGUAAUAAGAUGCUGCAUAUAUGCUGAUUUGAUUGUUUUGAUACAGCGAGUGUAUUGGUUGACCCUGAUUUCUUGGAAUGGGCCGAAGAGGGGAGAAUUCAAAGCAUUCUGGCCAUAGGGAGAGAAAUUACCUCUCUAUGCUUCCCCCUGAGCAUUCAGAAGUAUCCCCCUACCGCCUGUGCUUUAGUAGUAACAUUACCUCCGCUCGUCUCGCCGCCUCACCUUCGUUGCCCCUCCCCCAAUCCGUUGGUGCUCUCGUGCUCCUUGAUCCCCCGGUGCUCUCGUGCUCCCUGGUCUGCCAAUCGUUAGGGCUGCUGCAAAGUUAGACUCUUCCUCCGUUCUGUCUCGUGUGCUCUUGCUUGCUGACCACCUUGGCCGUCUCUUUGUGGUGAGAUGCUCAUCGCAUCUUAUGAUCCGGCUUAUUGUUAUAACUGACACUUUUAAUUAUGUAUUUCAAAUCCCUCCACUGUUCCAUCAAUCUAUCAGUUAUCCCUUUCAAAAGGGGAAGGCAUUAAUCUCCCUACACAUUUUAUAUAAUCAUCAUCCAAUUAGCAAGAUGAUAAUUUCUAUGUAUUUAAAUUAUAUAAUCUUUUUUCAUAUCGUAUGCUUAUCCAGUUUAUAUCUAUGGGUUCAACUGGCUAAUAACGAAAUGUUCUAAUCUCUUAAUGUUUGGGAUACUCAAUUGUCCAUACUCUCUUUUCAUGCAACCAUCUCGCGGUUAUCAACCAUCCCUUGUCAUGUCUCCCUCUCAUACAUGCUGGCUAGGUGGUUACACUCAUGACCGGUGUGAAUAUGCGGUGUCAACCUAGUGUUGUGGCUAAAGUAGUUCCCUCCUCUCACCUGAAGCAAAGAAGAGGAUUGAAGAACUCCCUUAAGAACCUUGAUUUGAAUCUUACCGGGAAGCAAAGUAGAGAAGUUAUUGGAUCUCUAAUGGGUUUAUCUGAAAUUUAGAGAAAUCUUGAUCAAACUAUGCUCAAAAUCAAAGCUGAGAAACUAUGCAUCACACGAUAAGUAGUGCAUAAAAUUAUUGGCAUGUUGCAUGGUUAUUUUCAGAAGCUCAUAUCGCCGAGUAAAGAGGAAAGGCACAAAGCGUUUGGCUCAGGUAUGAAGUUUUGAAGUCCGCUAUUGAUAAAGAAUCUCAGAAGAAAGAUGUGGAUCAGUAGACCGGCGUUAAUGCUUCUAACAAAGAUGAAGCGCAGGACAAUGCUGAUGGACAACAAACCAGAGUUGAUGCUUCUCGUGACGAGGACGAUGUGGCGUAAAAAAGCAAAAUUGUCCACCCCAAACAAUACUAAAGUUUUUUUCAUUCAGAAUUUAUAGACGUUGAGAUGAAUUUGAUUUUUUUGUUGUUGGCAUUGGAAAGAUUGUUGCUAUCAUCAACCCACAUUUGUUCAUUCAUGACGAUGAUGGAAGCAGCACGGAAUCGUAAAACUAUGGGGGAUGUUGACUUAGGUCAAUUUGUCUUUGAUGCUCUGAUGAUUGGUAUUAGUAACUGGAAGUCAAAGAAAACACAAAUCAUAUCGCUGGCCCUGGAAGUGUUUUUAUAGUAAGUACCUUCAUAGCUCUUCUUAUAUUGGGUAGGAAACCGUGUGCCCAACUUUAGAAUUAUGCUAUUUCUGGUCAGAAAACUAUGCGUUUAAUUGUACAAUUCUGUUUCAUAGAAUUUGUAUGUGGUCCACCUCAUGCCUGGUGACACACUGGAAGUCCCAAAGGAUCCCUACGCCACUUUUAAAAUUUACAAGUACGAAACAGAAGUGUUAAAAAACCCAAUAAAUGCUGCCAAUCAGAAAGGGGGAAGGGAUACUUACCUCGGGCUUGCCAUGCUCAGGUACCAUUGCCACCCUGCUAUACCAUGUUUGCUUUGAGCUCUUACAAAGGAGAACAUCAAACACUUUGCUUCAGGAGCGUUCCGCAGCAUUUAGCAGUUUAUUUAAUUAUUGUUUCAUGCUGGUUAAUUCUAGAAGUGGUGAAGGCAUCAUUUGGGAUUAACAUUGUGUCAGCAGGUAUGGAGUGGCCUACAUAGAAAGAAUCUAUGAUGCAGAAUUCUACGGUUAGACGCAUUUUUCUAACCAGAAAUUGCAUGAUUCUAUAGCCAGACACAUGUUUUCCUACGCAAUAUAAAUAGAGUUAUGAAUGUACUUACCGUUAGAACAAUUCCACAACCAAUGAUCUAUUUCGUGUUUUUCCUUGACUUCCCGUUAGUAAGUCAUCAAAGCAUCCAAGACAAGUUGACCUACAUCCUAGAACUUUUUAGGAUUUUGUAUUGCUACUAUCAAUGCCAUGAACGAAUAAAUGAGGGUUGAUCACAUGAACAAUUUUCCAACACCAAUAACAAGAAGAAUAUGACUUUCAUCUCAACGUCUUUAAAUUUUCAACGAAAGAAACUUUGAGAUUGUUAUAGGUGAUUUUUUUUUCUUUUUAACGCCACAUCGACCUCUUCAUCAGACACCCCCCCCCUCCCCCACACACUUUUGUUCUGAGCUUCAUCUUUUUUCAAGCAUUAGCGCUCGUCUGCUAUUCCUCAUCUUUCCUCUGAGCUUCUUUAACAACAACAGACUUCAAAACUUCGUAUGUGGAGUCGAAUGCUUUGUCGCUUUCCUUUUUACUCAGCGAUGGGAACUUCUUAAGAUGAGUAAAUUUCACAAAAUCACUACUAUAGGGGCUAGAGUUUCACGGAGCUGCCACCUCAGGAGUUUGCAUCAGUUUGCCACUACUUUAGGGACAAUAACUAUCAGUUUGUCUAAAUCUUGCGGAUUAGUGCAUUUGACAGCAGAACUGACAACUUGGGACUACUUGUAAGAUCCAACGUGGCAUCCAAUUUAUCCAUUUAGCCCCCUAUUAUUUUCAUUAAUUUCCUUUUCCCCUUUCUUCCCCUUCUCCGGCCACCUCGCCGGUGCUGACGAGGCCCAUGGCGCAGAGCGCCGCUUCGGACGCAGGUGACUUUGCGCGUGGUCUCGAGGAGGCUUGACUGCACUCUCCCUGCCCCCUGCCCGCGCUCGCCUGCUCGCGCCGCCGCGCCGCCUCCCUGCGCCCGUGCCCGCGCCCGCCUCCCCGUGCGGCCAUGCCCGCCUCCCCGCCUGCCGCGCCGCCUCCCCGUGCUCUUGCCCCGUGGCCGCGCGGCCUUCUUGCGCCCGCGCCUGGAGAAGAAGCCGCCGGCCGACGCCGCCUGCCCGUGUGGCCUCCUGUGGCUCCCGUGUCUGGGUGCUGCUGCUCCCUUAAGGAAGACGGGUCAAGAAGAAAAAGGAAAAAGUCAGUGUUUUUUUCUAAAUGGCAAAGACCUUACACGCGGGCCCAACUUGUCAGUUUUGCUGUCAAAUGCACUAAUCCGCGAGAUUUGGGCAAACUGAUAGUUAUUGCCCCUAGAUUAGUGACAAACUGAUGCGAACCCCUGAGGUGGUAGCUCUGUGAAACCCUAACCCAUGGAGUAGUGGCCUACAUAGAAAAGAUAGCCACGCGGCAUGCCAAUAAUUUUAUUCACUACAUCUCAUGUGUGACGCAUAUUUUCCUAGCCUUGAUUCUGAUCGUAAUUUUAUCAGGAUUUCUCUGAAUUUCAGCUAAACCCAUUAGAUAUACGAUAAUCCUGUAAUUAUCUUCCCAGUAAGCUUUAAAUCAAGAAGGUUCUUGAAAAAGUCAUUUGAUCCUCUUUUGCUUCACGUGACGGGAGGGGAACAACUUCAACCACAACGCUAGGUUAACACCGUAUAUUUAUGCCAGUCAUGGAUAUAACCACCUAGACAGCAAGUAGGAGAAGGAGAGUUGACAAGUGCAGAGAGGUUAAUUUCCUGUUAUCAUCAAACUGUUUUUAUUAAGGGCAUUUAUAUGAUAGCUAUAAAUCAAUUGCAAAAACACUAGCAGGAACUGGAGAAACAAAAAGAAAAGUCGACUACAGGAACAAAAGGUAGAAAUCCAGGUCAGAAACAAAUAGAAGUCCACAAGCGCAUGUGCUGGCGGCGUUUGGCUCGAGGGGUGAUCAUGCCGAACAUGCUCUAUGGCUUGAUUCAUUCCCGAGUGAUGCAAUCCGUGUUGUGCUGGUGAUGCCUGCUGAGUUAAUGGAAAUGCCUGCCUUUCCUCGGAAAACAAAGUACUACCACGCUCGGCACGUCACCCAAUUGAUUGGCCAUCGAUCCGAUCGUGUUUUUCUGUUCGAGCACAACAUGCAACUCCUACAUGGGUACACCACCAUAAUCCUCAUCCAUACACAUGUUGUAUAUUAAUAAUAGAACAUGGAGGCGCACUUAGCUGCGCCUGUCCAUCUUGACAAAAGAACAAUAGAAAGUAUCUUAAAAACUCCGAAUGGUACACUGCGCCUGUCCAUCUCGACCAAAGAACAAUCAAAAGUAUCUUAGAACAUCCUAAUGGUACAAAUAUCAUAGAAAAAUGGGAUGGUUUAGAUUACACUUCCUCUAUACAGGUGUUCAAGGUUUUAGGCAAAGGAUUCCAUAAAAUUUGAAGCACAAGAUUGUGCACACAUAUUCAAGGAUGAACGCCUUCAUGGCGGCAAUGAAGCUUUGAGUUGGUGCGUCCGCCCCAUUUAGGUUUCCUAACACUUUUCCAGGUGUUACAUUUUGAUCCGCUUCAAUUUUAACUCUUUUAAUGCUUAAUGCUCACACCGGCGGCGACGAUGUAGUAAUGAAUUAAUGUGUAGAAUAUUACUAUUCGUCGUCCUCAUAGCGAUGCAAUAAUGGAUCAAUGAGAGGAAGCCAUACGUUUGUCCUCAUAUACUCUGCCUGCAAUGGGCUUUCUUCCUCCCGUUAGUUUGGCCUUGGCACCCCGCUUCUUUGCCUAGGGUUGGUUCUGGAUUCGGUUGUGCUGGUUCAGAUUUCUCUGUUGUCGCUGCACAUCUGUUUUUUCUCUACGGAGCAAUACGCCGGGUGUGUGUGGUCUUGCCGCUUGUUGGUUGGGGUUUUUAUCUGGGGUCCUUUUAUCUGUUGGUACUGCCGUUUUUGACAAUGGUUUCGUGGCUAUGCUUGUUUACCCUUCCGUUUUGCAAUCCUCAUUUCAUUAACUCUUUUCAUGCAGGUUGUCAUUAUUACCUUGUGCGUAAGCUCUGAGCUAAUUAUUCAGUUUUUGGUAUCGCUGGAAAAUUCUGCAUACGGUGGAGCACCCAAGUUGGUUUUUUCGUUAGGAUUUUAGUGCUUCUUCAAUCUAAAAGAAGAUUAUACUGAUUGAUACUCCUCCGAUCCAUAUUAAGUGGCCCUGAUUUAGUACAACUUUAGCACAAAGUUGUACUCCUUCUGUCCCAUAUUAAGUAACUUAAAUUUAUCAAAUAUGAUGUAUCUAUACCCAAAUAGCGUCUAGAUACAUGUAAUAUUUCGUCACUUAAUAUGAGACGUAGGGAGUACUAAAUCAGCGACACUUAUUAUGAAUUGGAGGAGUCUUUUUGUGUCUGGUGUACCUCGUUAUGUUUUAUGCACUCUGUUGUGCUUAUAUGCAAUACCAAGUUAUCUUCUCACCUACUGUAGCAUUGAUGGGGACUCUACUACAUUCUGAUGAUGCAUCCAUGGCUGGACUGGUAUUAUGAAUAUAUGUAUCAGUGUGUACUAUCGUAUACAUGGGUGCUACUUCUACUAAUUUGGUAUGAUGCAUAGAGAAUUAACAACUGAUCUUUGUGGGCAGUCUCUCACCCUGUAGUUGUGUGGGGACUGCAGAUGGAAAUUAUUCAUUAUGAAGUGUCUGAAGAAUUUUCUGUAACAUGGAACUUGCCACAUACACCGCAAGAACUGCAUGACCACUGUCAUUAAUUUCGCAGUGGGGAAGCUCACGUGUUUUUUUUUCUAUAGGAACACCACACAUAACAUGAUGUGUAUUCUUCAAGUAUCAAAUAUGUAGGUUGCAAAAUGGUUAUGCAUCCAACAGGUUUUUCACAUAGUAAAUUAGUGAUGAUUCUUACAGACCAAAAGUUCAUUGCUAUUCUCUGUUGUGUUUUUAGAACUUAUUUCUAGUGUUGCUGCCCCUUAAGGAGUCUUGGGUUUUGAUUAGAUAAAGUUUAGCCAUCUUUGCUACUUUCGUGUAAUCGCGUGUGUCGGUUAGACCACCUGUUUUACCGUCGUCAAGACUCCAACCUAUUGUCUCGUUGAGACAUUGGUUUGAUAUAGUAUACUCACAAUUUUAGAUUGCAUCCGCUAUUUAUCUUGUUCUUGCUUGUUCUUUGAUUGUUUGCAGGAACAAAGACCUUCGUGGUCAGGUUGAUCGUGCCCCCGCGUGAUCAAUAACC
Molecule: long non-coding RNA, 43056 nt
Filed under: Brachypodium distachyon (stiff brome)
Lineage: Eukaryota; Viridiplantae; Streptophyta; Magnoliopsida; Poales; Poaceae
Description: long non-coding RNA (BDIS_LNC000797)
Rfam family: MIR1120/MIR1122 microRNA precursor family (bases 1155-1290)
Source: RNAcentral